RNAcentral lists this microRNA precursor (176 nucleotides) under Glycine max (soybean). Its description in RNAcentral is "miR166m stem-loop (gma-MIR166m)". Its record names the gene gma-MIR166m. The stretch from base 19 to 156 matches the Rfam family "mir-166 microRNA precursor family". Rfam says of the family: This family represents the plant microRNA (miRNA) precursor mir-166. Animal miRNAs are transcribed as ~70nt precursors and subsequently processed by the Dicer enzyme to give a ~22nt product. The record is from miRBase by way of RNAcentral. Lineage: Eukaryota; Viridiplantae; Streptophyta; Magnoliopsida; Fabales; Fabaceae.
UUUCGUUGCAAAGGUGAGGUUGAGAGGAAUGUUGUCUGGCUCGAGGUCAUGGAGGAGGAGGAGAGUAUUGAGAUGAGUGAAAGUUUCCAAUGGAAAUUUACCCUCUUAACACAAAAAAAAAAAUUGAUUCGCGGACCAGGCUUCAUUCCCCACACCCAACUUUUUUUUUUAUUCCU